Molecule: unclassified non-coding RNA, 357 nt
Filed under: uncultured fungus
Lineage: Eukaryota; Fungi
Description: sequence contains 5.8S rRNA gene
Rfam family: 5.8S ribosomal RNA (bases 1-53)
Source: RNAcentral
GAACGCAUAUUGCGCUCUUUGGUAUUCCGAAGAGCAUGCUUGUUUGAGUAUCAGUAAACACCUCAAAGCUUUUGAUUUUUUUUUAAAAGUUUUGGACUUGAGCAAUCCCAACACCAAUCUUUUUCAGAUCGGCGGCGGGUUGCUUGAAAUGCAGGUGCAGCUGGACAAUCUCCUGAGCUAAAAGCAUAUUUAUUUAGUCCCGUCAAACGGAUUAUUACUUUUUGCUGCAGCUAACAUAAAGGGAGUUUUGACCAUUAUGGCUGACUGAUGCAGGAUUUCACAGAGAAAAGGCCGGCAACGGUUUUGUCUCUGUCAAACUCGAUCUCAAAUCAAGUAAGACUACCCGCUGAACUUAAG